AAUAAACGCUGGCGGCGUGCCUAACACAUGCAAGUCGAGCGAGAAAGCUCCUUCGGGAGUUAGUAAAGCGGCGAACGGGUGAGCAACACGUGAGAAUCUACCCUUUAGUGAAGAAUACCCUCGAGAAAUCGAGGCUAAUACUGCAUACGUCCCUUCGGGGAGAAAGAUGGCCUCUUUGCUAUCGCUAAAGGAUGAGCUUGCGUACUAUUAGCUAGUUGGCGGGGUAAAGGCCCACCAAGGCAAUGAUGGUUAACCGGCCUGAGAGGGUGUACGGUCACACUGGAACUUAGACACGGUCCAGACUCCUACGGGAGGCAGCAGUGAGGAAUCUUGCGCAAUGGGCGAAAGCCUGACGCAGCGACGCCGCGUGGAGGAUGACGGUUUUCGGAUUGUAAACUCCUGUUAAGCGGGAAGAAAGCCUUGUUUCUAAUACAAGCAAGGUAUGACGGUACCGCUAGAGAAAGCA
RNAcentral lists this ribosomal RNA (466 nucleotides) under uncultured bacterium. RNAcentral describes it as "bacterial SSU rRNA". It matches the Rfam family "Bacterial small subunit ribosomal RNA", at positions 29 to 492 of the family's 1533-position model. The record is from RNAcentral.